AUUGAACGCUGGCGGCAGGCCUAACACAUGCAAGUCGAGCGGAUGAAGGGAGCUUGCUCCUGUAUUCAGCGGCGGACGGGUGAGUAAUGCCUAGGAAUCUGCCUGGUAGUGGGGGAUAACGUCCGGAAACGGGCGCUAAUACCGCAUACGUCCAGAGGGAGAAAGUGGGGGUUCUUCGGACCUCACGCUAUCAGAUGAGCCUAGGUCGGAUUAGCUAGUUGGUGGGGUAAAGGCCUACCAAGGCGACGAUCCGUAACUGGUCUGAGAGGAUGAUCAGUCACACUGGAACUGAGACACGGUCCAGACUCCUACGGGAGGCAGCAGUGGGGAAUAUUGGACAAUGGGCGAAAGCCUGAUCCAGCCAUGCCGCGUGUGUGAAGAAGGUCUUCGGAUUGUAAAGCACUUUAAGUUGGGAAGAAGGGCAGUAAGUUAAUACCUGGCUGUUUUGACGUUACCAACAGAAUAAGCACCGGCUAACUUCGUG
This 484-nucleotide ribosomal RNA is filed under the name uncultured bacterium. RNAcentral's name for it is "partial 16S ribosomal RNA". It matches the Rfam family "Bacterial small subunit ribosomal RNA", at positions 30 to 507 of the family's 1533-position model. The record is from RNAcentral.